AGCAGCCGCGGUAAUUCCAGCUCCAAUAGCGUAUAUUAAAGUUGUUGCAGUUAAAAGCUCGUAGUUGAAUUUCGGGAUCAAUACGUCGGUCGUGCUUCGGUACGUACUGGCGUAAUUGAUUUCUCCCUUCUGACGAACCAUGAUGUCAUUAACUUGGUGUCAUGGGAAAUCAGGACUGUUACUUUGAAAAAUUAGAGUGUUUAAAGCAGGCUCACGCUUGAAUACAUUAGCAUGGAAUAAUGAAAUAGGACGUUCGAUCCUAUUUUGUUGGUUUUUAGGAUCAACGUAAUGAUUAAUAGGGAUAGGUU
This 308-nucleotide ribosomal RNA is filed under the name uncultured Glomus. Its description in RNAcentral is "SSU rRNA". It matches the Rfam family "Eukaryotic small subunit ribosomal RNA", at positions 569 to 884 of the family's 1831-position model. Lineage: Eukaryota; Fungi; Glomeromycota; Glomeromycetes; Glomerales; Glomeraceae. The record is from RNAcentral.